RNAcentral lists this small RNA (1176 nucleotides) under Pan troglodytes (chimpanzee). RNAcentral describes it as "retained intron". The record is from RNAcentral. Lineage: Eukaryota; Metazoa; Chordata; Mammalia; Primates; Hominidae.
GCGGCUCAAGUAGCCCAGGUCUCCACGCAACAAUGAAGCGUGGGCGGCCCCAGCGGCUUCAUUUGCAUAUCGCCGCGGCUUGGCCAAUGGGCUGCGCAGGGGCUUUGGAACGCAGUGUUGCCAUCGGCGUGCGCGCGUGUGUGUGCGAGUGUGACAGCGGCUGUGGCUGUGGCCGUGGCCGUGGGAGGCGGGCCCGGCGGAGCCCAGCCGCGGGGGAACCGGCCCGGGCUCCCGCUCCCCGAGCGCGUCGCGGCCGCGUGGCCCGGCCGAGGCUUGAGACCACCCCGCCCCUGCCGGUCGCAGUCGCGAUGUCGGUGGCCGGGCUGAAGAAGCAGUUCCACAAAGCCAGCCAGCUAUUUAGUGAAAAAAUAAGUGGUGCUGAAGGAACUAAACUAGACGAUGAAUUUCUUGACAUGGAAAGGAAAAUAGAUGUUACCAAUAAAGUUGUUGCAGAAAUUCUUUCAAAAACCACUGAAUAUCUUCAGCCAAAUCCAGGUAAAGUUGAAAUAUUCUCUUGUUCAUUUGCUGUCACAGACUCUAAUAACCCAUGUUUACUUGGUGUUUAGUUGACAUAAUGUAGAAACAAUGUCGUCUGUGUCCCAAUAAUGAAAUUCAGUUUUUAAAGCUGAGUCUCCAGUGACCAAAGGUAGUUGCAUUCGGUCCUACUGAUGAGAAAGAGAACAGCUAUUUUUGUGAAUUUCAGUUGACAUCAUCCGAAUGGAGUGCUGGUCAUAGCAACAAGAGAGCACUGAGCAAAGGUUUUAUGAGUUGCUUCAGAAAGCCACUAAACAUUUGGCAAAUAUUUUCUUACUUCGUUAUUUCCUCUUUAUAAUUUUUUUAAAAAUUCUGCCCUUGUGUACUAUAUACAUAAAGGUAUAUGUUAAUUUGAAAAAGCUUUCUCUUCAUGGCUUAAAUGCUGGAGAAACAAGGUGUGGUGAAUACGAAAGACUGCUUAAAUCCAGUGUCACAUCAGCUUCGCCACUGAAGGUCUGGAUUUCUAGGUCCCCAAGCAGCAUCUAUUGACGAGAUUUUCCCAGGUUGUAAAUUAUAGAAACCAAUAGAGGGCGCCCAAGCCUUGAGUUCUGUGGAUUUCUGAAGCCACCUUUCCUUUUUAGGAAUUUAUUAUCUGCGUAGAGUUCCUGUGAUUCCCUUGACUGUAGGAAUCAGCACAAACCU